This 69-nucleotide transfer RNA is filed under the name Dallia pectoralis (Alaska blackfish). Its description in RNAcentral is "tRNA-OTHER". Lineage: Eukaryota; Metazoa; Chordata; Actinopteri; Esociformes; Umbridae. The record is from RNAcentral.
GAGUUAGUAUCUCAGUGGUAGAGUGCAUGCUCUGUAUGUAUGAUGUCCCUGGUUCAAUUCCCCAGCUUC